Molecule: ribosomal RNA, 433 nt
Filed under: uncultured bacterium
Lineage: Bacteria
Description: partial 16S ribosomal RNA
Rfam family: Bacterial small subunit ribosomal RNA
Source: RNAcentral
AACGAACGCUGGCGGCAUGCCUAACACAUGCAAGUCGAACGAGACCUUCGGGUCUAGUGGCGCACGGGUGCGUAACGCGUGGGAACCUGCCCUUAGGUUCGGAAUACCUCCCCGAAAGGGGUGCUAAUACCGGAUAAUGUCUUCGGACCAAAGAUUUAUCGCCUUUGGAUGGGCCCGCGUUGGAUUGGCUAGUUGGUAGGGUAAAAGCCUACCAAGGCGACGUUCCAUAGCUGGUCUGAGAGGAUGAUCAGCCACACUGGGACUGAGACACGGCCCAGACUCCUACGGGAGGCAGCAGUGGGGAAUAUUGGACAAGGGGCGAAAGCCUGACCCAGCAAUGCCGCGUGAGUGAGGAAGGCCGUAGGGUUGUAAAGCUCUUUUACCCGGGAUGAUAAUGACAGUACCGGGAGAAUAAGCUCCGGCUAACUCCGUG